This 22-nucleotide small nuclear RNA is filed under the name Arabidopsis thaliana (thale cress). RNAcentral describes it as "snRNA_16118". Lineage: Eukaryota; Viridiplantae; Streptophyta; Magnoliopsida; Brassicales; Brassicaceae. The record is from RNAcentral.
UGUUCAACACCAAUUGCAUCCG